AUUGAACGCUGGCGGCAGGCUUAACACAUGCAAGUCGAGCGGGAAUAGGUAGCCUGCUACCGAUUUCUAGCGGCGGACGGGUGAGUAAUGCUUAGGAAUCUGCCUAUUAGUGGGGGACAACAUUUCGAAAGGGAUGCUAAUACCGCAUACGUCCUACGGGAGAAAGCAGGGGACCUUCGGACCUUGCGCUAAUAGAUGAGCCUAAGUCGGAUUAGCUAGUUGGUGGGGUAAAGGCCUACCAAGGCGACGAUCUGUAGCGGGUCUGAGAGGAUGAUCCGCCACACUGGGACUGAGACACGGCCCAGACUCCUACGGGAGGCAGCAGUGGGGAAUAUUGGACAAUGGGGGGAACCCUGAUCCAGCCAUGCCGCGUGUGUGAAGAAGGCCUUUUGGUUGUAAAGCACUUUAAGCGAGGAGGAGGCUACUUUGGUUAAUACCUAAAGAUAGUGGACGUUACUCGCAGAAUAAGCACCGGCUAACUCUGUGCCAGCCGCCGCCGUAA
This 502-nucleotide ribosomal RNA is filed under the name uncultured bacterium. RNAcentral's name for it is "partial 16S ribosomal RNA". It matches the Rfam family "Bacterial small subunit ribosomal RNA", at positions 30 to 523 of the family's 1533-position model. The record is from RNAcentral.